ACGACCGGAUCGAACCCGUUGUGAAUCGAACUUGGUUCGAGUUCGAGCAGCGGGUCGAUCCGAGCCA
This is a non-coding RNA of Drosophila pseudoobscura pseudoobscura, 67 nucleotides long. The record is from Rfam. Lineage: Eukaryota; Metazoa; Arthropoda; Insecta; Diptera; Drosophilidae.